This 884-nucleotide ribosomal RNA is filed under the name uncultured bacterium. Its description in RNAcentral is "bacterial SSU rRNA". It matches the Rfam family "Bacterial small subunit ribosomal RNA", at positions 28 to 916 of the family's 1533-position model. The record is from RNAcentral.
GACUAACGCUGGCGGCGUGCCUAACACAUGCAAGUCGUGCGGUCUGGCUGGAAUGAAGCCUUCGGGCAGAUUUUCGGCUCAGAUAGCGGCGGACGGGUGAGUAACACGUAGGAACCUACCCUCUGGUGGGGGAUAGCAUUCCGAAAGGAAUGGUAAUACCGCAUGGUAUCCCUUCAGGGAUUAAAGGGGCCUUUUGGUCUCGCCAGAGGAUGGGCCUGCGGCCUAUCAGCUAGUUGGUGAGGUAAUGGCUCACCAAGGCAAUGACAGGUAGCCGGCCUGAGAGGGUGGACGGCCACACUGGGAUUGAGAUACGGCCCAGACUCCUACGGGAGGCAGCAGUGGGGAAUCUUGCGCAAUGGGCGAAAGCCUGACGCAGCGACGCCGCGUGGGGGACGAAGGCCUUCGGGUCGUAAACCUCUGUUCUGGGGGAAGAAGUUCUGACGGUACCCCAGAAGAAAGCCCCGGCCAACUACGUGCCAGUAGCCGCGGUAAUACGUAGGGGGCGAGCGUUGUCCGGAACUACUGGGCGUAAAGCGCGUUAAGGCGGUGUGCGCAAGUCAAGUGUGGAAUCUCACAGCUCAACUGUGAAAUUGCACUUGAUACUGCGUCACUGGAGUGUGGGAGAGGAGAGCGGAAUUCCCGGUGUAGCGGUGAAAUGCGUAGAUAUCGGGAAGAACACCGGUGGCGAAGGCGGCUCUCUGGCCCAUCACUGACGCUGUAGCGCGAAAGCUAGGGGAGCGAACCGGAUUAGAUACCCGGGUAGUCCUAGCUGUAAACGAUGGUUACUGGGUGUGGGUGGUUAUUCCAUCCGUGCCGAAGCUAACGUGAUAAGUAACCCGCCUGGGGAGUACGGUCGCAAGACUGAAACUCAAAGGAAUUGACGG